RNAcentral lists this ribosomal RNA (449 nucleotides) under uncultured bacterium. RNAcentral describes it as "partial 16S ribosomal RNA". It matches the Rfam family "Bacterial small subunit ribosomal RNA", at positions 354 to 796 of the family's 1533-position model. The record is from RNAcentral.
GUCGAGAAUCUUUCACAAUGGGGGCAACCCUGAUGGAGCGACGCCGCGUGGAGGAUAAGGUCUUCGGAUUGUAAACUCCUGUCAUGCGUGAACAAGGUUGCUUGGUUAAUACCUGGGCAAAUUGAUGGUAACGCAAGAGGAAGAGACGGCUAACUCUGUGCCAGCAGCCGCGGUAAUACAGAGGUCUCAAGCGUUGUUCGGAAUCACUGGGCGUAAAAGGUGCGUAGGUGGCGUGGUAAGUCAGAUGUGAAAGCCCGGGGCUCAACCUCGGAACUGCAUCCGAUACUGCCAUGCUAGAGUACUGGAGAGGUGACUAGAAUUCUCGGUGUAGCAGUGAAAUGCGUAGAUAUCGAGAGGAAUACCAAAGGCGUAGGCAGGUCACUGGACAGUUACUGACACUGAGGCACGAAGGCCAGGGGAGCGAACGGGAUUAGAAACCCGUGUAGUCC